UUGUGAUUUAAAAGCACCAUCACAGACUUGAAUUAGGGGACCCUGUCAUCAUAAUCUGAAGCUAAUGACACUGCGAUUUGGUGUUGCAGGAAGCUGUGGAGACUCCCCGAUGGAGUAGUCUAGACUUCACCGUGUGACUCUGGUUUCCCUGGGAGCCCUAGGUCUUGCUGUGAAAUAGACUGAAUAAAUAUUGAGCAAGAUAGUGGGAAGGCAGAGGGAGAGGAAGAGAGAAUUUCAAGAAGACUCCCCACUGAGCACAGAGCCCAACUUGGGGCCCUAUCUACAACCCUGAGAUCAUGACCUGAGCCAAAAUCAAAAGUCAGAUACUUAACCGACUGAGCCACCCAGACGCUCUCCUCUUAAUUCUUAC
Molecule: long non-coding RNA, 370 nt
Filed under: Canis lupus familiaris (dog)
Lineage: Eukaryota; Metazoa; Chordata; Mammalia; Carnivora; Canidae
Description: lncRNA (ENSCAFG00030008459.1)
Source: RNAcentral